GGACCCGCACAAGCAGUGGAUCAUGCGGUUUAAUUCGAUACUAAACGAGGAACCUCACCUAGGCUUGACAUCCCGAGAACUCACCGGAAACGGAGAGGUGCCCGCAAGGGAGCUCGGAGACAGGCGCUGCAUGGUUGUCGUCAGCUCGUGCCUUGAGGUGUUCGGUUAAGUCCGUUAACGAGCGCAACCCAUGUCGUUAGUUAUGAUGUCUAACGAGACUGCCUGAGUCAAUCAGGAGGAAGGUAUGGAUGACGUCAAAUCAGCAUGGCCCUUAUGCCUAGGGCUACACGCAUGAUACAAUGGUUGGUACAAUGAGUCGCAAUACCGCGAGGUGGAGCCAAUCUCAAAAGCCAAUCUCAGUCCGGAUUGGAGUCUGCAACUCGACUCCAUGAAGUUGGAAUUGCUAGUAAUCGUGAAUCAGACAUGUCACGGUGAAUAUGUUCCCGGGUCUU
RNAcentral lists this ribosomal RNA (452 nucleotides) under uncultured bacterium. Its description in RNAcentral is "bacterial SSU rRNA". It matches the Rfam family "Bacterial small subunit ribosomal RNA", at positions 917 to 1382 of the family's 1533-position model. The record is from RNAcentral.